Molecule: long non-coding RNA, 768 nt
Organism: Corticium candelabrum
Lineage: Eukaryota; Metazoa; Porifera; Homoscleromorpha; Homosclerophorida; Plakinidae
Exons: 4
Source: RefSeq, a predicted model, not a curated record
UUCUGUAAUGCUGCAGGUGGCGUUGGCAGAAGGAACGUGACAUGGUUGUAUUGUUGUUUGCAUUCGUUGACUACUGCGCACCUUGCGACGUCACACCAUUGACGUUGCUGAAGCGGUAGCUGCGUCGUAAUUUUCAAACUCGGGGGCCAUCAAAGCACAUACGCACCAAAUAGCUAUAUAGCAGCAGAAAUCUGCGUCAGUGCACUUACAUCGCAAAAGGAGCUGUUCCAACUUUCAGCUGUUCAACCAGAGACCUCUUCAAACUGGUGUACACAGAACAACUCGAAGACUACAGCUAGAGUCGUUGCUGUUUGUGAAAUCUGCAUGUUUACAGUCGCGAUUAAACGUGGCCACGGGAACGUUGACGUCGACAGGCUUCGAUUUCAUUCAGCCAUGAUCCACGUAUGAUCUAGCGUAUGUUGUGCGCUGUGUCACAACGGAGACUGAAUGCGAACGUACUGGAUGGAUGCGAACGUACUCGGUGCUGCUUGCUGUUUUUUGACGUCUAAAGCGACUGCAGGCAGUCCAGAGUGAGCGAUAUCUGGAAGGGCUUGGAGUUGCAUGACGUCAUGGAAACAAGAUGAGUCGUCUUUCUGUGUUUGGGACAUGUGAAGAAGAUUGCAUAUAUUUGGAAGGUUGGAUCAAUGAAUGGCAUGUCAAAGUAGUGUCCUGCAAAAUCAUGCCACUAUUCAAGCUGCUAGUGCAACAGCUGUGACAUUUGUUUACCAGUUUACGAUGCUGUAUAAUUCAAUUCUAACCAGUUAUAGU